RNAcentral lists this transfer RNA (73 nucleotides) under Loxechinus albus. RNAcentral's name for it is "tRNA-Leu". It matches the Rfam family "tRNA". From Rfam's summary of the family: Transfer RNA (tRNA) molecules are approximately 80 nucleotides in length. Their secondary structure includes four short double-helical elements and three loops (D, anti-codon, and T loops). Further hydrogen bonds mediate the characteristic L-shaped molecular structure. tRNAs have two regions of fundamental functional importance: the anti-codon, which is responsible for specific mRNA codon recognition, and the 3' end, to which the tRNAs corresponding amino acid is attached (by aminoacyl-tRNA synthetases). tRNAs cope with the degeneracy of the genetic code in two manners: having more than one tRNA (with a specific anti-codon) for a particular amino acid; and 'wobble' base-pairing, i.e. permitting non-standard base-pairing at the 3rd anti-codon position. The record is from RNAcentral. Lineage: Eukaryota; Metazoa; Echinodermata; Echinoidea; Camarodonta; Echinidae.
GCUGAAAUAGCAAAGUGGUUAAUGCAAAAGACUUAGGUAUUUUUCAUCGAAGGUUCAACUCCUCCUUUCAGCU